RNAcentral lists this long non-coding RNA (397 nucleotides) under Musa acuminata (dwarf banana). Its description in RNAcentral is "long non-coding RNA (MACU_LNC005569)". Lineage: Eukaryota; Viridiplantae; Streptophyta; Magnoliopsida; Zingiberales; Musaceae. The record is from RNAcentral.
CCUAUUCAAGAAGAGGAUGUAACUAUAAAAACAUAAAAUAAUUUAGGUAUAUGACAAAAAGAAGAAGAAGAAGAAGAAGAAGAAGAAGAAGGAGUAAGUUCUAUGGGGUACACCGCACAGAUAAAGACUAAUUUGAUAUGGGUCUGCCGAUAACAACGUAUUAACACACACAACUUCGAGCCUUCAACAGUUUAAUUUAGAUCCAAACACACUUAGGUAAAAGAUAUUGGAGGAGUCUUGCCAUUCCUAUAUCUACACUGCAUUAUUUAGCCACUGCAUCAGCAUGCUGCAGUAGCGGGCAAGCUCCCGGAAACAAUACCUUAAUCGUACGACUCAUCGACCGCCGCUCGGCACGAGCUGGCGAAGACAACUCGGAGUUACUCGAGCGGCCUGNNNN